GAGUUUGAUCCUGGCUCAGAUUGAACGCUGGCGGCGUGCUUAACACAUGCAAGUCGAGCGGUAACAGGUGUAGCAAUACAUGCUGACGAGCGGCGAAACGGGUGAGGAAUGCUUCGGAAUCUGCCUCGUAGUGGGGAAUAACCAGCCGAAAGGUUGGCUAAUGCCGCAUACGAACUACGGUUGAAAGCGGGGGAUCGCAAGACCUCGCGCUAUGAGAUGAGCCGAAGUCCGAUUAGCUGGUUGGUGAGGUAACGGCUCACCAAGGCGACAAUCGGUAGCUGGUCUGAGAGGACGACCAGCCACACUGGGACUGAGACACGGCCCAGACUCCUACGGGACGGCAGCAGGUGGGGAAUAUUGGACAAGUAGGGGGAAACCCUGAUCCAGCGACGCCGCGUGUGUGAAGAAGGCCUGCGGGUUGUAAAGCACUUUUAGGUGGGGAUAGAAAAGCACAUUGCUAAUACCAGUGUGUCUUGACCUAACCCAAAGAAAAAGC
This 496-nucleotide ribosomal RNA is filed under the name uncultured Gammaproteobacteria bacterium. Its description in RNAcentral is "bacterial SSU rRNA". It matches the Rfam family "Bacterial small subunit ribosomal RNA", at positions 9 to 491 of the family's 1533-position model. The record is from RNAcentral. Lineage: Bacteria; Pseudomonadati; Pseudomonadota; Gammaproteobacteria.